UACGUAGGGUGCGAGCGUUAAUCGGAAUUACUGGGCGUAAAGCGUGCGCAGGCGGUUUUGUAAGCCAGAUGUGAAAUCCCCGGGCUUAACCUGGGAAUGGCAAUGGAGACUGCAAGGCUAGAGUUUGGCAGAGGGGGGUAGAAUUCCACGUGUAGCAGUGAAAUGCGUAGAGAUGUGGAGGAAUACCGAUGGCGAAGGCAGCCCCCUGGGCCAAUACUGACGCUCAUGCACGAAAGCGUGGGGAGCAAACAGG
RNAcentral lists this ribosomal RNA (253 nucleotides) under uncultured bacterium. RNAcentral's name for it is "partial 16S ribosomal RNA". It matches the Rfam family "Bacterial small subunit ribosomal RNA", at positions 524 to 776 of the family's 1533-position model. The record is from RNAcentral.